GCAGCCGGCCGGCCCGCCUCGGCGCAUUCGUAAACAAACCCUGGUUCAGUUCGGACGCAGAGAACACCCGAAGACCCCCUCACCCUUCACCAUCAGUGUAACACACUUGGGCUUCUUAUUUCGUCGAGACCGCCGGCACGGGAAAAUGUAGGCGAGCGGGCACUAGGUGCGGAGCGCGACAGUUUACCUGCACCCUACGGGGUCGGUGCUUGAACAAUCCGUACACGACGAUAACAGGCGUGAAUUAGAGUUUGAAAUACCUUCACACUUUGAACAAAUAUGAGAAGAGAACUUCGAGAUAUAGUUUAGAGCAGACUCGUAGUUUGAUCCAAAACCGUCGGCAUCAUCUGCCUUCUCUAAUACCGCACACUGAGGCACAGCAUUGGGAACGUUGGAAUCGAAAAGCAAAAAAUUCAAACAUGUAACGUAAGCCGCACCAGCUAUAACAAAGACGAGAGAGGGAGAAAGAGCGAGAGAAGGGGCUAAUAAGGGAAAGUGAGAGGAGAGAAAGAGGCUCUAUUCGUUCGCGGUCGAGUCCGCGAAUGAAAGGGCAGGGCGGAUGUUAACGUGGGUCUCGGCUCGGUCGAGCGUACCUUUUUGGGUGCCGUGACAGUUAGUACACCAUCCGAGGAGAGAGUCGAGGUGACAUUGACGAGGUCGUGAGAUGGCGGCAGGACGUAUCUGCGUAUAAAGUGCCUGCUGAUGUAGCCGUGCUCGUCUUGCUUCUCCUCGUGCUUGGCCUCGACAAUAACGUGGUUGUCGACCGUCUUCACCGAGAUCUCGUCCGGUGAGAAUUGUUGCACGUCCAGUAUUACCUGCGGAUCAGAGAGCGCGGCCCCGUGAAAAGGCCCCCCCAGGAAUUAUUAGCUUCGUUCAGGAUCUUCUUUCCAAGAGCGUCAUCAAGAAACUGAAAUUUUGCAUUCUUCCGAGAGCAAAACGCAAACGCACAUCGUUCUGACUAUGCAUCCAUAGAGCGCAAGUAUUAUUUCUUCCCUAAAACUUACUCCGAAAAUUAUGAUCGAAUUUUAAACAACGAGGCCCAUUUAAUUUUGUUCUUGUCUGACAAAUUAGCACUUAUAUUUUGGGUUUCUCUUUUGGAGCAAAAAUUCUUCUCUGGAAGAGUUUUCGUUCUCAAACGCCAUGCGUACAUUAUAAAUCGUAUUAACAUAAAAUUAGCUUGCGCACAAUCGUUUCGGCAAACUAUUUGGACCAGCAUUUCAUUUAAUUUGUAUUUGUUAUUCCAUAUUUCCGCGUUUAGGGAGCCGGCCGGGGCGAUCCCGCCGAUUAGGCCCGGUUGUUGAAGUUUCUGCUACGAGAAAAGAAAAUGUCAAUUCGACCAACUUUUUAGAUUCGUCUUGACCGUCAAAUAAGCGCGUCGCAAAAGGUAUUUUCUAUCUUUUUUUUUUUUCGAUUUCUCGCGUAACUCUCUUUUAUAUGUAAUCCCGCCGCGUCUCUCAUUAGAUUAUCGCGCGUUAAAGCGCGUUAAAUGGUACAAAAGCAAACCGGGAAGAUGUAGCUGUCAGCGCACCUACUUGUGUGAGAUUGUUCCUUUUUUUUUUGACAACCAAAAAACGAGCAUACACACAUACAAGUAGGUGAUUAUAUAUCUUUGUACCGAUCGCGAGUGCUGUGCGGUCGUGCCCCGGGAGCGAUCGGUCGCGACCGCGGUGGCCGAUCCUUUUCAUGGCCGAGCGGUUCGCUCUUUGACGGGAGAAAAAUUGCAAAAAAAAUACAAAAAUAAAAAAAAUAUAUCAGACAGGUAACGGUAUAAAGCAGGAAGCUUCAACAACCGACAGUAGUAAAAAUAGGUGAACCGAGUUUCUCCAGGUGAUCCCCUGCGUGAUCCUGAAGCUCGGUGAGCGUGAACGCAAAGUAAGUUAGGUGGAGGAUGAUUGGCUGUGCAUUUCGAAAAUAGUACCAAAAAAAAAAAAGAAUAGAAGAGAAAGAUAAAAGAAGUUAUACGGAGUAACACUGAUCUGUAAACGGUCGACUCGAGUGCUGCGCGCAGAGCGACAUAUUUUGUACAAAUAAAAAAGUAAAAAAGGGUUCCGAGUAAGAGAAAAAAAACAAACGUCAAAUUUUGUACGAUUAUUCUAUCUUGUUGAGGGUAUUCCAAAAAAGCAUUUAUUUUUGUAUAGAGAUUAUAGCCAGAAGGAUCGGGGCCUGAGGUCUCGUUCGCGUGAGCGGCGCCCCCUUCGAAAAAGGGGGCGCGUCCGCUCGUCGGAACGACGCCGCGAGUCUCGGUUCUUUCAAUGAACAAGACUGAUUAAGCGCGACACGAUAAUAUAUAACGAUACAAUCCACUCUUUCGGUUGCAUAUUUUAUUCCGUGGCUGCUGCGCGCGAUUUCUCGCGUGCGACUUUGAACCAAGAGCGUAGAAAGUACAGCGGAACGGAGGAUCAUUUCAGAGCUGCGGCAGGCAAACCGUGCGCGCGAUCGCGCGAGGAAAAAAUAUCGCAGAAAGAGCUAAAAUAACAAAAAAAAAAAAAGAAAAGAUUGAAGAGACGGGGGUAUAUAAAACGAGAAAACUAUGGUGGUAAAACUGUGAUUUCAUAGAGAUUUUGAGACAUUAGCGCGACUGAUCGGAGAUCGCGCAGCGCGAUCAUCCUCUUUUGAUACGUAUCUUUCGUAGAACACAUUUUGGCGAACGAGGAGGAUAACAGCGUCUCUCGAAGACAGAAAAGAAAGAAAAAAGUAGACAAAAACAGCUUAUCCGGAAAAAGUACGGAAAAGUCGUCUCUCCGAUCCGAUUUUUAUUCGUAUACUUUCUCUCGUCGAGGGGAAGGAUUAUUAAAAAAAUAUCCACUUAUCCUACCCCGAGCGAAAAUAAUCUCGAUCGAACACUCGAAUCAUCCUGUCAAAAAAUUACCGAGCUGCCGCUUCGGUCGACUUCGCGUCGCAUUCACAUGAUUAAAUAUAAUGUGCAUGCAUUGUGAUAGAGACAGCGGCAGCAUCAGCAGAUGCAGCCAUCAGAGCUUUCUGGGCCUUCUGGUGUUCCGGAUUUUUCGUUCGUUUUUUUAGUUAUUCUAGCAGGCGUUGAGUUUCUCUCGUUCCUUGCGUUUGAAUCCCCUCGUGUAAUUUGAGUUUAAUUUUUUUUUCAAUUAUUUUAAUGGCCACGUGGCCGAUUUGUCAAUCCCUUUGAAAGUAAUAUUCGAGUCCCAUUAGACAGAACCUCCGUUUGCAACGUUUUAAUCUUUUCUGUUAACCCAUUCCUCUUCCCGUUAACCCUUCUCCCUUUCCCUUUCCCUUAUUCUUUUAUUCUCCCUCUUACGAAUGCGUCUCUUCGUCAUCCCCCUUCGUCAUCUACUCCCGUCAUAUCUUGUCAUUUUUCUCCAGCGACUUUUCUAGAUUUCGAAAUCUAACUACGAUUCGCCGCUACUUGUUUUUUCGAUAGAAAAGGAAACACGAAAAGAGUUUACACUUAUUAUAUAUAUCGUAUUUUUUUUAUAGAAUAUACCACUUUCGAGACUCUUUGUAUUUGAUGCAAAAUUUGUUUUGCGUCCGAUACAAAUCGCGCUCAAAUUGUAAACACCAAAAAAAGAAUUACUAAAGAGAUCGUCAGUUUAAGUCGUGUCUCAGCCUAAGUUAUAAACGCGCAAACCGAUCACAUUUCGCUGUUGUAUCAUCAAACUUCCUCAACGGAAAUGUAAUUGUAACGCAUUGGAUCAGAGUAAUCUUGAAUUCAUGAAUUUAGAACUGUCCGGUCUUUUAUCCACAACAAAAUCGCGAUAAAUCUCAUUUCGACGUACCGACGACGUGCGAAUUCAUGAGUUUAGGAAACGUUUAGGCGAGUUAUACAUUUUGUAUUUGACAUAGAUGACCACCACUAUAGAAAAAAAGAGUGAUCGCCGCUUCAGACCGUGAUUAAGUUGUUAUCGCAAAAAUAAAAAAAAGAGGAAAACAAUAAACCGGUUAUUUUUCACUCGCUGGUGUAUCAUCGAACUUCCACGAGAUAAGAUAAAUAACGUUUAUAACAGGCCGAUAACUCUCUCUUUUGCGAAUUCAUGAAUUUAGACGUGUCACGACACUUUCACGGCGAAUAAAACGUAUUUCCAGCGCGCAUUUAUGAAUUCGAAACUAGUUUGGCGACUUUUGUGAGCAUAAUUGCAAAUUAACGAUCGAUACUGUCGAGUUACUAAGUUACAUUAAAAAUCUGAGGCAAAUAUAGUUGAGAAGAUCUAAGGGGAUCGAAAAUUAACGACUUUGCGGGCGUUUUAUCCAGUUUGAAUUUAUGAGAAUAUAAUCGAAGAUUUUUAAAGAACGUCGAAUAAUCAACGAGACAGCCCUUUAUCCUCGUGGAAAUCUUUUUGAGGGAAAGAGGGGAGUGCCUUUCGCAAAUUGAUCUAGGCUUGAUCUAAAUCGAUACUCGCGAACGCGACAACAGAGCAUUCGAUUGAGGUUCUUGGGAUUCUUGACUUAUAUCUUGUGUGUUUUAGAAUAACUGCAGCGUAAGAUAAUCGGUAUAUUCGCAGCGCGUGUUAAUUCUAGAUAUUAAUCGCGUGCAUAUCAUCCCGAAUCGCGAAUUCUUGUAAAUUUUUGCUCCGACUCGAUCUGUAAAUCGCACUUCUGAACAGUCGUGUCAGAAUCGCGACGGCUAUCGCGUAAUUUUCCUUGGACUAUGGAAAAUUGCGCGAUAGCCGUGGGCGAUUCUGCGUUCUCACUCAUAACGAAUAAAAGUACGCUCUAAACACGUCUAAAAAUAAUAUACUGGCUCACUCGCAUUCGGGACAUUCCGUGAUAAUUUUAACGCGCGUUGCUCCUUUGCGUUUUCUUGCCGCACUCUGAAACCAAAAAUCGAACGAGCGAACGCACAUGUGACAAGAAAAUAUCUUAAAUAGAGAGUUUUCCGUCUGACACAUUUUGAGAUCGCACAAUAUCAAAUUGCUUCCAGAAAUUUUGCAAAAACUCGUAUCUACGCAAAAGCGGCUUCAGAAAUUAUAAGCAAUUUAGAAUAAAAAUAUUCUCGAGGUGAAAUUAGCGGUGAGAUUUGAAUUGCAAAUUUAAUUGAGUGGUGAUAAUCGCUUUUUAUCGUCGAUUUGUGUUAUCGAUUAUUAUUAUUGAGUCGGUUAUUGCGUAAGAAAGAUAGAUUUGAUCUUUGAACUUCUUAUUGCGUUUUAAAUAAUUUCUGGCCAAUUCCUUUCUUUCGCAAAAUCCUGCCAGCUUCGGCAGGAUUCUGCGAAAGACGGAAUUGGACCAUCGCAGCAGUACUUCCGCCCUAUAAUGUAUUUUUAAGUAUAAGCAAGCUUUUAACACUUUCCUGACAAAAAAUGCUAUCGCAUUAAUGACUAUACGAAUAGAGGAUCCGGGGGAUUAAACUGAAUCAUUAGCUGAUAUCUUGAACUGACGUAUACAGGAUAAAAUUUAUGAGGCAUUUUUUGCAAAUUAAUUUUAGCAAAAAGAUGUCAUUUCAAUAAGCCCAUUUGAUCGCAAGACUUGAGCGCAACUAAACUAAACAUCAUGUAAUGCGCAUAAAUGCACAUUCUAAACCAAUAAUUAUGGACACAAUGACAAAUCCUAGCAAUUAAAAUACCAGCAAAAGCAAAACUAUUUUUAGAAAGCAAAUCUUUUAAUGUUAGGCCAUCAUUUGUGUUUUAUCAUAAAUGUAAAGACAAAGCAAAAAGUCGUUUGGUGAUGUAAAUAACACAAAAUCGUUUUACAGUAACGUCACGUAAUAUGUACGAGCACAAAAAAGAGAUAUAUUUCUUUAAAAAGUUCAUUGAAAAAUUUCCACGUUGGUUCUAUGAGAAUUUUUCGAAGCAAUAAACUGUAUAAAUUUUUAAUAAUAAUUAAUAAUAAUUAGCAAACGGAAAUAAAUAUAAAAAUAUAAUUAGAAAGUAUUAAUUCGAACACAGCAAGUGAUACAAAAAAUAGUUCCUUGGCAACAUCUUUUUGAAUAAAAUUGCAUAUUACGACAACAGAAAUAAACAGAUAUUUUGACACAUCUCAGUCGAGUAAAAUAAUCCAGUAAAAUAUGAUUAAUAAAAUUAUUCAAAAUUUCAAUGAGCAGACAAAUUUGAAAAUAGAUACUUUAGACUUUAGACGUAUUAUUUCGCUGAUCCCUUGACAAAGGCAGAAGACAAGUUGCACAUAAAAAUUCUCUUUUGCUCAUAGAUAUUCAUAAAGAAAAACAGUAUGCAACUUCACUUUCGAUCUGAUCGCAUCACGCGACAUUCUAUUUCACUUCUGUGCGCGAAAUCGUUUUAAAUACCAACCUGGAAAGUAUCAUUGUCCAACUGGAUAGUGCUAGAUCCGCUUGAAUUCUGACGCGCCACGUUCCUCCAUGGUCGAUAGUACGUGUUUCCGAUAAUCGAGCGUAAAGGGGCUCGAUUGAGACCAAGACCGGUGAAAUUCGAGAUCAGAUCAUCUCGAAGGAGGCCAGUGCCGAAGUGUUGAUCCAAAAGUCGCGAGACGGGACGAUCGAUAUCGUCCCACCAAUCGCGGAAAACCAUCGGCACAAUCGACAUCUGCGAAUCACAAUCGAACAAUCAAUAAUGACCGAUCGGUGCUCGAACAACAAAGAGAAAUAUACAAUUUUAUAGAAAUACGAAAGAAUACAAUAUAGACGUCCCGGGCGAGAAAUACGCGUGAAUGAAGUUUGGCGGUUAAAUAUCACAACUAUAGCAUAUAUACAUACAUAUACAUGCAUAUAUGUAUUAUAUGUAUAUAUAUAUGCACUAUUAAUUCUACGUAUAGAUAUUAAGAAUUAAGCUAGACUGCACAAAGGCGAUAAAAUCAUUAGUUCUCGUGUUUAAUUCAUCGGAUGAUGUUUCUAGGACUAUCGUUAAGUGUAUAAUUAAUCUCUCGAACUUACUUGGAACACUAUUAAUGUACGAGCACAUAGACAGGCACACGCGAUCUUAGAAUAAGAAAAACCAAUGUCACGAUUCUACACGUCGGCCGAAGUACACCUCGAUUUAAAAAAAAAAAAGACUUAUCGAAAUCCGCGUCAUCCAUUCCGGAAUGGACGAAUAUAAGACGGCGACGAUGCCAUACGCAUUUAUAAGUAAAGGUCACAAUAAGAGAGUCUCGUUUUCUCGACCGCAUAUGUCGUAAUUAUAAUUACUCUAGACUACUCGUUGGUUAAGUGAUAGUUUUUAGGGGAACGUAAGAACGCGUUAGCCGACACGUGAACCACGUACUGUACGUAAAACAAAAAAAAAAAAAAUAAAAAUCGACAUCAAAACGACACUCUCCCUUCGUUAAACGUAACACGUACGGGAAGUUCUUCACUCUCACUGAAAUUCUUGCCAUUCACGGGCAAUAGACGAAUCCUUCAAUGCAAUACAGUACUGCAGAUGAUACUUAAUACCUCGGAGAAUACGACUUCUCUCUCGCAUGGCAAUAGAAUCCUCGCAUUGACAGAAUUAAAGGCAACAUCUAGUAAACGAAAGGGAGAUUAUUAGUAAAUCGAAUAGAAACCGGUUUCUCACGACGGAUACUCGGAAAAAUACAAAAAAUUCAAUAAAGUUUAAACUGUAGUCAUAAGCCAUAAGACAGCGAGAGCUCGACCGAAACACAGCAAAGCUAGUCCGUUCGCGUAAGAUUACGUAUAGGGAGUUUAAACUCGAAAUCUCAAGACGAUGGAUUAUCGGGAUUUAAGUAUCGACCAACUACGCGAUGGAACAACGAUGACUAAUCAGAUAGCGCAGGUACUAGUUUAAAGUCACACGCCCCCACUAUUAAACGUUACUAAGGAUCAUACACGCAUCCAAACACGCGAUUUACGAUCACCGAACACAAUCAAAUUAACGACUAAAGAUCUCGCGCUAAAAUUCUUCAUAAUCACCUUUUCUUUCUCCUUCGACUAAGGAUACGUAUCCUUGAUGUCCGUUCGCGAUGGUAAUUCAGUGGGGGAGAUUUUCACAGAUGAGGAUAUAAGGACCGUUAGCUUAAGAUUAUUUCGCACAAAACGUACCGAUAAGCUCACAUCCUGAUCUAAAAGACGAAACAAAAAUAUAGAGACGUAGACGAAUAACGUUACUUUUAAGUAAAUAAUUCUAAGAUUACCGUAAGUUAUACGCUAAGCGACUUAGACUUACAAGCUGUUAGUGGGCUAGUAAGGACGUGAGGUAAAGAAAGUAUUCCAGUAGUACACACAUUCGCGAAGAGAAAAACGUGUAACGUAAAAAACGAGCAUAGUACUAUCGUACUUUACGUGGAACGUGAAGAGCCGAUCGGUCAACUUGAAGGUCACCAAACAAUUCCGGAGUCGACUUCUCUCUGAUUCGGGCGCGAAUCGCGGAUCUAUCUUAAAUAAAGCCGCGAUGCGGAGGCGUGCUCUUACAAUGUCACGUGACGUUCACUGACUGUCUUCUCCAAGAAUACAUUCAAGAAUACUUCCUACGCGCGCUACAAGCUUUUGGCUAUCGAAACUGACUCCGUAAUACUUACGGUUAGUUCAUAAUUAACUCGAGCUUUGUACAUUCUCGCUGUUUCUCGUGACAAUUACAUAUUUCGAUCUUCACCGUAUUCCUGCAUUGAUUCGUCAUCUCGCGAUUGCUACAAGGUGUUGCAUCUCACCAUCUAAACUGAAAUAUCUGACGUGUGAAUCGACGAUGUGCAAGAAAUAGACUCGAUAUAAUUCGUCUGUGAUAGUGACAUUAUCUCUGAUCGUCUAAGCACACAUCGUCGAUAUGUUGUCGAAUCUUUCUAUUUUUGUGACAUCGAAUUUGCUACCUCUUCUGAAUUAUUGCGAUAGCGGGAUGACGUAAUAGUGAGCGAUAUCAAUUUUAGACAGCUGUGUUUUAAAAACAGUCUGGAAAUUCCAAGAAAGAAUUAGAACGCGUAAUUUCGUUGUCGAAAUGAGAUGUUGCAUCUUUAACAUUGUAGCGAAUUAAAGAACUGACGUUGCAUCACCAAACGAGACAUUAAUGAACUGGUAUUAAUGAAUUAAAGUUUUUCGCUCCGACCGUAUCUUGCUGGGCAAAAUCACGAAAAAUAGAGAACUUGACUGAGAUAAAAAUUUUCGAUCAGUCGAAACGAUCAGCUUGAAAGUUGGCUUAUUCCCAAAUCGUAACAAAUACUGGAGAUAUUUUUUCGAGUGUCGCAAAUAAAACUGAGAUCCGAGCAUAGAUGAGAAACAUUUUGAUCUCACGAGGAAAUAUUUAGAUCGACAAUUACCAGAAAUGUAGAAAAAAAAACACGGAAAGUGCUAAAAGUACAUUUUUUAAGUGUGGGCUACCCCCAAAGUGUGCUAUUUUAGGAUAUUGGAUUAUACGCAUUUUUUAAAGCUACACAUUUCCUUCGAUUUGCUUCUUUCUCGUUUAAUAUAUAGAUAUACAUAUAUGCAUGUAUGCGGAAUGUUGUAUAAUUAAUGGUCCUGACAUUAGCUUUGCGCGUUAAUUAGCGACGUAGAUUCUUGUGUAGAUCUCGUCGAGCCGUCAGCACUUUUGGAUUUUUCAGAUUUAAUUCAUUUCGGUCUCAAUAAUUGCGUGAGCACAUUUCGUCCGCACAAAAGUUAGAUGAGUUUUGCGUGCAUCGCUUCGCGAGAUAAUUCUGAACAAUGAAUCACAAUCUUUAGAGACGGCGAUUUAAGCGGAUUGCUACGCGGAUUAUGUAUAAGCUUGAUUGAUAAACCCUCCUUUAUAGAGGAAAGGCAUAAAAUCAACUAUAAAACAAUUAUUAAAAAAUGACGUGCACGUCGCCAAAAAAAUAUGUAAAACUUACGUGUAUGUACUAUUAAUGCUAAGAAUAAUAUAUUUAGAUAUAAAGAUGUUUGCAUACUAAAUUACUUCGUUACUCCGCAAAUUCCAUCUACUAGCGGCAAGUGCUAAUGAAACAAUCUUGAAUACUGAAAAUAGCUCCUGAUCCACGUUUCGUCUAAAAAUAUACAUUCGCAUUUAAGUCAUGCAAUCCAAAAUAUCUCUAACGAAAUAGCCCACCUGGAUAAUCAUUUUUGCAAUAUCUCACUGACGAAAAAGCAAACGAAUUUCAGACCUCAGAACAGAAAUUUAUCGAUGGGUACAUUUUGGUUUUCAGAAAAAUUAUUUAUUCGAUCGAGAGACAUGUAAAAGUGAAUCGCAAAUUUAUAUAAAUUUAACGAAAAGCACUUGUGGCGAGUGUAUCGGGAGAAAACGCAAGUAAUCUAAUUUUAAGCGUAAUUCUUAGCUCUUCGGACGAAUCAUAUUAUGUGGCAUUAUUAUAGUAGUAAUAAUACAUACAUAUAUAUAAGCUUGUAAUUAAGUUAUUACUUUAUCUACUUAUAUAACGCGCGGUAUUACUUACCGCGCGAUACUAUUUGUCACUCGAUACCACAUUCAACGAACAAUAAUAAUUAAUCGAUAAUUCCAGACAGAAAUCUUAUAAUAUAAUACCUUAAGAGAUUCUCUUAUCUCUCUAUCUUUAUUCCGAGAUAUUGUCGUGAAAUGUUUCAUGUUUACGUGUCACAGACUUCAGAUAAAAACUCUAAAAAAUGACUCGAUACUCUGAUUGUCUCUAGGGAUAAAAACUAAAUAUAUUGAUACUGGAUAAAACGACCAUGAUUAUUCGUGCGUGUCCCGUAGAAAGUAUGUUAUGAUAAAUAAAGCGUAUGUAUAUGUACAAUAUAUCAGCAUACAUAAGUCUUUAAGAUGGAUACAUAUAGUAAUCAUCCGUUAGUCCGAUGCUUGUAACUCGAUGGACUAUUGAUGUUAUUAUAUCGAUUCUUCUCGGUUUGUAACAACAUUAAUCAAAUUAUUUUUAGAUGCAAAAAUAUUAUGUCAGAACAGUUUUAGAUUGAGAGAGCGAAUGCGUAUUUUCUGUUAACAUGAAAUAAAAAAUUUGUAAUUUGCCGAAAUCACAUAUGAUUCGUUGACAAAAAUGCGCAAGAUUUGAUUCUGAUACGCGGCUUAUAUACCUAUUUUAUAUCUGAUUUUACUUAAUUCUGUAUUCAUGCAGCGUGUAGAAAUAGGCCCGAUACCAUUUCUUGGCUAAGAGAGAAACAAUAAAGUGGAAUCCGACAUAUA
Nylanderia fulva is the source of this 10943-nucleotide long non-coding RNA. RefSeq lists it as uncharacterized. The record is from RefSeq and is a predicted model, not a curated record. Lineage: Eukaryota; Metazoa; Arthropoda; Insecta; Hymenoptera; Formicidae.